Acinonyx jubatus (cheetah) is the source of this 1572-nucleotide RNA transcript. It is a transcript of the gene named transport and Golgi organization protein 1 homolog, with no coding region annotated. The transcript has 10 exons. NCBI's taxonomy places the organism in Eukaryota, Metazoa, Chordata, Mammalia, Carnivora, Felidae. The record is from RefSeq and is a predicted model, not a curated record.
UACAGACAGACCCACACACAGACCCACACUGCAGACAUGGCCAACGACACCCUGAGGAAAACACACACACACACACACACACACGCACACACGCAUACACGCACACACACAGAUACAAUCAGGAAGACCCAAAGGGGCAGCAAAUUCACAUGCGUAACUAGUAUACACACAUACAAAACCCAGAUAUACAUAGACACUCCCAUAUGGACACACAUGUCCCCGAAAACGUACAUAAUGGGCAGGGGCUUUUGAAAAAUGUGGUCACGCGGGGUUUCCAUUGUGAUCUAUCAGGGGCUCAGGCCUCUGAUUGGUGGAGAGAGGCUAUACAGCAUCCGGAUUGCUAUGGCAACGCUCAAACAGCUUGUCCAUAUUUUGGCUGGCCAUUUCCCUUUUGGCUCUCGUGUAUUUGGGAUUCUGUGGAAGCUUACCAUUAUUACUGCCACCCUUGCAAUUUGUGCAUGUCUGGUUUACCUCUGGAGAGUUGUCCUUGCUUUAGAGCCUCAAGUAUAUCAAGUUAAUUUACAGCAAAUAACUGAAAAGAUCAACACAGUGAAGAAAGAAAACAGAGAGCUGGCUGAAGCAAUAUCCAUUUGGGAACUGAAGAUCAAUGAAUCAAAGAUACGUCUUCAAGAAGCUGAGAGAAGUAACAUUCACUCCGCUGAAGCUCUUAAAUUGAAAUCACAAGAUGCAAACGGUCAAUUUGAGGAUCCAGAACUGAGAGCCGUGAUGUCCAAUAACUGUGAACUGGAAGAAAGUAAAAAGGCCCUGGAGGACAAGUGUAAUGCAUUGAGGACUGCGAAAGCAGCCAAGGAAGCCAAAGUCAGACAGUUGAAGGAGAAAGUAGUCAUCCUUGAAGAAUUCUAUGAAGAAAGAAAAGUGGCUAUAGAAAAGUAAGAUGUUCAUGAAGCUUAAAAUGACACAGUGUGAACUGGCAGCAAAGAAGAAUCAGCUGGCAGCUGCAGGGAAAAUUUGAACAAAGCUACAGAAGAAAACAAGUACAAGCAACAAAUUGAACAAACAAGAGAACAGCUGCAACAGGCAGAGCUCACCUUCAGACAUCAGAUCGCAGUUUAUGAGAAGAAUGCUCAGGACAGCUGGGUGUUUCCUUUUUUCCUCCUCUCUCUCUUUGGUGCACAGUCUGGCACAACUGAAGGUGGGUAUGUUUUUCUCCCCCAUAUCAAGAUUCAAGUCUGGGAGAGGGAGAUGACAGAGCAGAGCAGGGAGGUCACAUACUUGAAAUACAGGUAAGGUAGUUUGACUUGUGUUUUUAUGGAUGUUUCCAGGGAUGAUGCCUGUGCUGUUAUCUAGUAGAGUACGUGGUGUUGCAACUCUUAUAGAAGUCCAUUCUUUUUCUUUAUCCAAGACUGGAUGUGAUGGAAGGAAAGAGGCUGCCUGUGGGAUGCCCAAGGCAGAAACCAAUGCCUGGAAGACUGCUGUGCAGCCUGUUCCUGUAGGUGAUCAUCAUGUGGCCUGAAAAGAAUCACAAGCACUAAGUACAGAAGGUGGUCUGAAGGGGUGACAGAAGGGUGUUCUCCUCUGUGCCUCAGACAGCGGGGCACCUGUCCCUGUGAU